This 237-nucleotide ribosomal RNA is filed under the name uncultured bacterium. RNAcentral's name for it is "partial 16S ribosomal RNA". It matches the Rfam family "Bacterial small subunit ribosomal RNA", at positions 118 to 354 of the family's 1533-position model. The record is from RNAcentral.
UGAGCAAUCUGCCCUUCUCUUCGGAAUAAGCGUUGGAAACGACGUCUAAUGCCGAAUACGACCUCCUUUCGCAUGAUCGGAGGUGGAAAGCUCCGGCGGAGAAGGAUGAGCUCGCGGCCUAUCAGCUAGUUGGUGUGGGUAACGGCCCACCAAGGCGACGACGGGUAGCCGGCCUGAGAGGGUGACCGGCCACACUGGGACUGAGACACGGCCCAGACUCCUACGGGAAGCAGCAGG